AAAGAGGCUCUAAACUACGUUUCUAUGCAGCCUGGUGGAGGGCUCUCAAUUCUCAGCCCGCGAAUGAGGCUCUCAACACUGUCUCUGUUCAGCCCGCGAAUGAGGCUCUCAACACUGUCUCUGUUCAGCCCUGCCGCAGGGCCCUCCACCUUCCGCCUGUUCAGCCCGCCAGUGAGGCUCUCAACACUGUCUCUGUUCAGCCCUGCAGGCCUCUCCACCUGCCGCAGGCCUCUCCACCUUCCCCGUUCGCCCGUAGGCCCUCAACCCUAUCCCUACUCAACCCGGUUAUCCAUCUCUCACUUCUGCUUCUCCUUCGGAGUAUCAGGCUCGCUUGAAGCCUGUCCUGCAGUUACCGCCCGGCCUGGUCUUCAGGCCCCUGAAAGACCUGCUCAGCAGGUACUCGCGCCUCCACCUGGCUUACAGGUUCUCAAUUCUUCCUCUAUUCAAAACCCUCAUUUCUUUUCUGCUUCUGGUCCGGUCACCACUGCGGUUGCCGCCACCACCAUGGCCGCUCACGAGCAACAAAUCACAUACGUUCCUUAAAAUGAUACUCCUCUUAUGAGGGCCAUCUCUCAGGCAAGGGAAUACGGGGAUCCCGAAGCCUGGCAAUUUCCUGUAAUUUUACAACCUCCGAUGCCUGCCGCCCCCGUCCCUGAGGCACAGGAUCAGCCACAGCCCGCUGAUCCUGCCCAGCAGGUGGCUGAGCCCGCGCCUCCUCGGGCUCCUCAGCUCGCAGCCUGACAGUCAGGCUCCUCAGGCAAAUCAGCAGGCUCCACAACUGCCUGCGGCGCAGCCAGUUCCAGGUAUACCUGCAGUCCGGGCAGUAGUCCAACCAGAUCCUCUUCAUCCAGGCCAGGUCCAGCUACGCCCUGCUUCUUGGGAAAGCUUUUCUUCUAAAUUCCUCAAAGAUUUCAAAGAAUCAGUGAAGCAAUCGGCACCAACUCCCCUUUGUCCGGUCCACAUUAAAAGCUCAGAAGAUAAACAGCAGUUUGGUGCCUUAUGAUUGGUAAAUUCUAGCAAAAUCGGUAUUAUCUAAAUCCCAAUAUUUACAAUUCGGGACUUGGUGGGUCGAUGCUGUCCAGGAUCGAGUUCAGCUUAAUCAAGGCUCUAAUCCUCCUGUUAAUGUUGCAGCUGACCAGUUAUUGGGAAGGGGACAAUGGCCUGCAACUACAAAUCAAACUAUACUAAAUGAUGAGGUCAUUCAACAGCUUCGCAAAUGCUGCCUGCAUACUAGUAAUAGCGCACUUAUACCAGUCCCUAACGAUGACAGGUUUCCCGCUCAACCAGAGGAAAAGGGUGUGCAGUUUAAUUUGUCAAUUGGAUAUAAAUUCCCGCCAUUGUGCACAGCACUGUCACCUGGCUGCUUGGCUUUCUCUAAUCAAAAUUGGAUGUGGACCGUACCAUCCUCUAGUAAUGAUUCUUAUGAAGUACAUAAUGUGUUCAGUAGUAAUUCUUUUCAGAUCAUGGCUGUUGAACUUAAUCCUCAUGAGGAAUGGAGAGUUCCCGUCACCACCAAAAAUAAUACAACAAAAGGACUGCCAGACUGUUCAAGAGAACCUACCAAGGGAACUUGUUUAGGGAACUCAAUCAUAUGGAAUGACUGUAAUGCUCCAA
Molecule: long non-coding RNA, 1614 nt
Organism: Macaca fascicularis (crab-eating macaque)
Lineage: Eukaryota; Metazoa; Chordata; Mammalia; Primates; Cercopithecidae
Source: Ensembl